Non-coding RNA from Sturnus vulgaris (Common starling), 1300 nucleotides. NCBI's taxonomy places the organism in Eukaryota, Metazoa, Chordata, Aves, Passeriformes, Sturnidae. The record is from RefSeq and is a predicted model, not a curated record.
CAUCAUGGAAUAUCAGGACAUCAUGGAACUUUAUAUUUUAACUCUAUAAACCUUUCUGUCAUAUCCUGGAGAAUUACUUUUGUUCUAUCUAUUAACAUACUCUCUUACUGUAGAAAUGCAAACCAUUUUGCAGAAUCAGUGUGUUUUAUCUGUCUUUUAGGCAAGGGUAAGGGAACCAAAGCAUAUAACCAAACUUGAUAGCAAUUUCUGCUGCCUUUGACAAGGGACCUGCUUUUUGUGUGCACUUUCAGCAGCGGGUCAAUUAGGCACUGCAAAUACGUCAUAAGUUAUCAAAUUGCUGCCCAAGUCUGAUGCAGAAGAAUACUGGAGAUGGAGAUUAUUGACUGAACAUCUGUGUUACCUCUGAAAUGUCUGUGCUGUAGCAUGUUGAGAGCCCCUACAAUCUUGGCAAAGGAAGGUCGUGUAUUCUGGGAGCUUUCCUUGCGUAAGAUGGUAGCCAAUAAUUCUUUCUUCUACUAUAAUAAAGUAGACUGUGUCGACACUGGGUGGGGGGAGAGGGGAGCAGGGAGGAAACAUUGGAAUAUGUUUUUGAAUAUCAAUGGUUCCAUAAGUAAACUUGUAUACAGAAUUCAGAAACUGCAGAAAAACCAGCGUACAUUGUCAGAGGCUGUGUUCUUGCAAUUGAGGUAUCUCUUGGGCUUCCAGAAAGACAUAAACACAUUGUGAAUUAUCCUGCAAAGUGUGAAAUGCCAGGCAGAGGAUUCACAUAGUGAGUGGUUUCAAGAGAACACACAUAAACCAGAAGCAAGGAGGGUGUAAUGAAAAUGCCUGUAUAGAAAAUAUGACUAGAUCAGUUGGGAUUAAAUGAGUCCAGAGGGCCAUUACAGUCUCAAUGAUUCUAUAAUUCUCUGAUCAUUAUGUAAAUUGCAUGUGACUUCUUUCUUAAAAUUAGAUACAUCACAUGUGUCAGAUGUUUUAAGAUUCAGCUUCUCAUAGUGCUGUGUCUUUAGACAGUUCUAUGCCAGUACAGAUUCAUUAGUCAUCCUCUUGGGUUUUAACUUGCUCAGUGUAAUAAAAGUGUGAUAUAUAUACUUUGGUAUACUUCUUACUUCUCCUCUCUGGCACAGUUAAUAAUCUUAUAGAUAUAAUUUCCCACUAAUAAAUUUAGAUGCUGGUAAUAAGGAUUGAAUUGCCUUUUUUCUCUUUUUUUGGUCAUUGUUAAAUGCUUUAUAACUCAUGCUUAUAAAAAUUCAUUGGAUUGACACACACUGUACAAAUUGAGUGUUUUUUUUUGGUUUUGUGGGUUUUGGGUUUUUUUGUUUUGAUUUUUUUUGUUUGU